ACUUGAGUUGCUUGCUCUUUUCCUGGAAAGAAAAUCUGAUGAUCUGAUCUUCUCUUUAAGCAUAUUUCAGAAAUCAUCUACCAAUAACUGCAGUCCUUAAAGACUUGUUGCAGACUGCAGCCAUUCUUUAAGCAGAAUCUUGAGUUUCCCCUUCAAAUUUUUACAUUUUCUUUACCAUCAAUUUCAAAACCCCUUCUUUUCUCUCUCUCUCUCUCUCUCAAUAGCAUUUAUCGUGAAGAAGACUGGGAAGCCAUGCAAAUUCUUGCCUACUGAUCCCUUUUUGGUUAUUCUUGUGUUUCAUUUUCACAAGAAAUAUCCACUCUUGUAGGGGCAAAGUGGAUAAGAACAAAGCUUCCAUACUUUUCCAUUUCAAGGGGAUACACUAUCCCUGCUCACCUGAAAAACAAGAAACUGCCUCUCUGUCU
RNAcentral lists this unclassified non-coding RNA (425 nucleotides) under Hevea brasiliensis (rubber tree). The record is from RNAcentral. Lineage: Eukaryota; Viridiplantae; Streptophyta; Magnoliopsida; Malpighiales; Euphorbiaceae.